RNAcentral lists this ribosomal RNA (482 nucleotides) under uncultured bacterium. RNAcentral describes it as "partial 16S ribosomal RNA". It matches the Rfam family "Bacterial small subunit ribosomal RNA", at positions 29 to 505 of the family's 1533-position model. The record is from RNAcentral.
AUUGAACGCUGGCGGCAGGCCUAACACAUGCAAGUCGAGCGGAUGAAGGGAGCUUGCUCCUGGAUUCAGCGGCGGACGGGUGAGUAAUGCCUAGGAAUCUGCCUGGUAGUGGGGGAUAACGUCCGGAAACGGGCGCUAAUACCGCAUACGUCCUGAGGGAGAAAGUGGGGGAUCUUCGGACCUCACGCUAUCAGAUGAGCCUAGGUCGGAUUAGCUAGUUGGUGGGGUAAAGGCCUACCAAGGCGACGAUCCGUAACUGGUCUGAGAGGAUGAUCAGUCACACGGAAAAGGAGACGGGGCCCGGCCCCCACGGGGGGGCAGGAGGGGGGAAUUUGGGAAAGGGGGCAAAGGUGUGACCCGGCAAGGCGGGGGGGGUGAAGAGGGUUGUCGGUUUGAAAGGCUUUUAAGGUGGGGGGAAGGGGAAGAAAUUUAAUACCUGGUUUUUUGGGCGGCCCAAAAAAAAAAAGCCCGGUCUAAUUUGG